UGUCGGACUUUUUUUUUCUUUUUUUUUUGCUUCAACCUUAUCUUUUCAUGUAUUUCAUGGAAACUGAGAAGUCAUUUUCACUUCUCUCCUUUGCAUACGACAACGAUUCGAGUUUUGGAGCGACCAUUGUGCGUCUCCAAAUCUCAUAGCCAAAAAAGAACGAAUCUAGAUCUGAUUGGAAGGGGUAACUGGCGGAACUACAAAAGAAGGUAUUUUGACACCAUUAUUUUUGCUUUAAACUUUAUUUAUGAUUUUAAUGUUUGGUUCAUGUAAAACGAGCCCCGCCGAAGUUUCUGACGGUACAACUUCUAUAGCUAACAUAAGUUUCUAGGUUCGUGGGUUGAGGCAAAACUUGAUGGAUGAAGAAAAACAUGGGACUAUAUUGUAUGAUGCAUGUAAAUAGUAUAUACAACCGUACGUAUUUUUUUUAGUUCAUGCAUGAUUUUAAUGUUUGGUUCAUGUAAAACGAGUCCUUUGAUCUAUAUACCUUUGGACUUACUGAAAGAAUAUUCUCAGAUAUUCUGUUUAGUUUGUAAAUCUCCUGUAAUAUAGGAAGAUCAUACUCUCCUCUAACAAACUCGAUUA
This is a long non-coding RNA of Brassica oleracea var. oleracea, 585 nucleotides long. RefSeq lists it as uncharacterized. NCBI's taxonomy places the organism in Eukaryota, Viridiplantae, Streptophyta, Magnoliopsida, Brassicales, Brassicaceae. The record is from RefSeq and is a predicted model, not a curated record. The transcript has 2 exons.